GAGUUACUUCCUUUGUCCUAAAAUUCUUGUCUUAAGUUUAUUUAGAAAUGGAUGUACUAAAAUAAUAAAACAUGACUAGAUACAUUCAUAUCUAGACAGAUCUAAGACAAGAAUUUUAGGACAGAGGAAGUAUUUG
Non-coding RNA from Hordeum vulgare subsp. vulgare (domesticated barley), 136 nucleotides. The record is from Rfam. Lineage: Eukaryota; Viridiplantae; Streptophyta; Magnoliopsida; Poales; Poaceae.